CGACGUGAGUAACCUGCCUUGGAGAGGGGAAUAACACAUCGAAAGAUGUGCUAAUACCGCAUGAAAUGUCUGAAUCGCAUGGUUCUGGACAUCAAAGAUUUAUCGCUCUGAGAUGGACUCGCGUCUGAUUAGCUGGUUGGCGGGGUAACGGCCCACCAAGGCGACGAUGUCUAGGGGUUCUGAGAGGAAGGUCCCCCACACUGGUACUGAGACACGGACCAGACUCCUACGGGAGGCAGCAG
RNAcentral lists this ribosomal RNA (242 nucleotides) under uncultured bacterium. RNAcentral describes it as "partial 16S ribosomal RNA". It matches the Rfam family "Bacterial small subunit ribosomal RNA", at positions 113 to 354 of the family's 1533-position model. The record is from RNAcentral.